UUUAAGUUUGGUGUUUCCCAGUGUGGGUUUGCCUCAUUCUACAGGUGGCUAUCAAAAUUUAAAUGCAACACAAUGGGAUGUUCCAAUUUGAUCAUAUUCUGUCUUUCCUAGGAAGCUGACAAAAGAACUCUCUACAGUUGUUUUAUACAGCAAAUAAAUCAUCCCCCCCAUUUCCAUCUUCUUAAUUGUUUAGGUUGGGUGAGACGUUGCGGGCAGUCGUGCAGAUCUGCCAUGAACCGGAUGCAGAGACAGCCUUCCCUCCUCCCACUGCAGUUCUGCCAUUUCUCCAAGACUGCGCUUGAAGGACUGAAGGAAAGGAGUUUCUGCACAGCCUUCUACUUCUAGAGACUAGGGAGUCAUGGCAUCAAGAGGACUCCCAGCUCUCAUGUAGCCGGCAUAGGCUUUAGGGACGAGGUGUGUACUUGGAGCCCACCAAAGUCAGAAGAGGGCGUCAGAUUCCCCCGGAACUGGAGCUAC
This is a long non-coding RNA of Onychomys torridus (southern grasshopper mouse), 477 nucleotides long. RefSeq lists it as uncharacterized. The record is from RefSeq and is a predicted model, not a curated record. The transcript has 4 exons. Lineage: Eukaryota; Metazoa; Chordata; Mammalia; Rodentia; Cricetidae.